This 707-nucleotide ribosomal RNA is filed under the name Leptopeltis litigiosa. RNAcentral describes it as "partial large subunit ribosomal RNA". It matches the Rfam family "Eukaryotic large subunit ribosomal RNA", at positions 86 to 814 of the family's 3401-position model. The record is from RNAcentral. Lineage: Eukaryota; Fungi; Ascomycota; Dothideomycetes; Leptopeltidaceae.
ACGGCGAGUGAAGCGGCAACAGCUCAAAUUUGAAAUCUGGCCUCACGGUCCGAGUUGUAAUUUGUAGAGGAUGCUUCGAACGUGGUCCGGUCUAAGUUCCUUGGAACAGGACGUCAUAGAGGGUGAGAAUCCCGUAUGUGACCGGGUGCCUUAGUUCAUGUGAAGCUCCUUCGACGAGUCGAGUUGUUUGGGAAUGCAGCUCAAAAUGGGUGGUAAAUUUCAUCUAAAGCUAAAUAUUGGCCAGAGACCGAUAGCGCACAAGUAGAGUGAUCGAAAGAUGAAAAGCACUUUGGAAAGAGAGUUAAACAGUACGUGAAAUUGUUGAAAGGGAAGCGCUUGCAACCAGACUUGCGCGCAGCCGAUCAUCCGAGAUUUUUCCCGGUGCACUCGGUUGUGCUCAGGCCAGCAUCGGUUUUGGCGGUUGGAUAAAGGCCUUGGGAAUGUAGCUUCUUUCGGGGAGUGUUAUAGCCCAAGGUGCAAUGCAGCCUGCUGGGACCGAGGACCGCGCUUCGGCUAGGAUGCUGGCGUAAUGGUUGUAAGCGGCCCGUCUUGAAACACGGACCAAGGAGUCUAACAUCUAUGCGAGUGUUUGGGUGUCAAACCCAUACGCGUAAUGAAAGUGAACGGAGGUGAGAACCCUUAAGGGUGCAUCAUCGACCGAUCCUGAUGUCUUCGGAUGGAUUUGAGUAAGAGCAUAGCUGUUGGGA